GAAAGUGAACGGAGGUGGGAACCCAUGUCGGGCGCACCAUCGACCGAUCCAGAUGUCUUCGGAUGGAUUUGAGUACGAGCAUANCUGUUGGGACCCGAAAGAUGGUGAACUAUGCCUGAAUAGGGUGAAGCCAGAGGAAACUCUGGUGGAGGCUCGCAGCGGUUCUGACGNGCAAAUCGAUCGUCAAAUUUGGGUAUAGGGGCAAAAGACUAAUCGAACCAU
Molecule: ribosomal RNA, 222 nt
Filed under: Pyrenodesmia chalybaea
Lineage: Eukaryota; Fungi; Ascomycota; Lecanoromycetes; Teloschistales; Teloschistaceae
Description: partial large subunit ribosomal RNA
Rfam family: Eukaryotic large subunit ribosomal RNA
Source: RNAcentral